RNAcentral lists this transfer RNA (70 nucleotides) under Ictidomys tridecemlineatus (thirteen-lined ground squirrel). RNAcentral describes it as "Spermophilus tridecemlineatus (thirteen-lined ground squirrel) tRNA". It matches the Rfam family "tRNA". From Rfam's summary of the family: Transfer RNA (tRNA) molecules are approximately 80 nucleotides in length. Their secondary structure includes four short double-helical elements and three loops (D, anti-codon, and T loops). Further hydrogen bonds mediate the characteristic L-shaped molecular structure. tRNAs have two regions of fundamental functional importance: the anti-codon, which is responsible for specific mRNA codon recognition, and the 3' end, to which the tRNAs corresponding amino acid is attached (by aminoacyl-tRNA synthetases). tRNAs cope with the degeneracy of the genetic code in two manners: having more than one tRNA (with a specific anti-codon) for a particular amino acid; and 'wobble' base-pairing, i.e. permitting non-standard base-pairing at the 3rd anti-codon position. Lineage: Eukaryota; Metazoa; Chordata; Mammalia; Rodentia; Sciuridae. The record is from Rfam by way of RNAcentral.
GGGGAUUUAGUUCAGUGGAAAAAAACUUCUUUAACAUAUAAGGCCCUGGGUUUGAUCCCCAGUAUCCCCC